Molecule: ribosomal RNA, 1260 nt
Filed under: uncultured bacterium
Lineage: Bacteria
Description: bacterial SSU rRNA
Rfam family: Bacterial small subunit ribosomal RNA
Source: RNAcentral
GACGAACGCUGGCGGCGUGCUUAACACAUGCAAGUCGAACGGAAAGGCCUCUUCGGAGGUACUCGAGUGGCGAACGGGUGAGUAACACGUGGGCAAUCUGCCCUGCACUUCGGGAUAAGCCUGGGAAACUGGGUCUAAUACCGGAUAGGACCUCAAGACGCAUGUCUUCUGGUGGAAAGCUUUUGCGGUGUGGGAUGGGCCCGCGGCCUAUCAGCUUGUUGGUGGGGUGACGGCCUACCAAGGCGACGACGGGUAGCCGGCCUGAGAGGGUGUCCGGCCACACUGGGACUGAGAUACGGCCCAGACUCCUACGGGAGGCAGCAGUGGGGAAUAUUGCACAAUGGGCGCAAGCCUGAUGCAGCGACGCCGCGUGGGGGAUGACGGCCUUCGGGUUGUAAACCUCUUUCACCAUCGACGAAGGUCCGGGUUUUCUCGGAUUGACGGUAGGUGGAGAAGAAGCACCGGCCAACUACGUGCCAGCAGCCGCGGUAAUACGUAGGGUGCGAGCGUUGUCCGGAAUUACUGGGCGUAAAGAGCUCGUAGGUGGUUUGUCGCGUUGUUCGUGAAAUCUCACGGCUUAACUGUGAGCGUGCGGGCGAUACGGGCAGACUAGAGUACUGCAGGGGAGACUGGAAUUCCUGGUGUAGCGGUGGAAUGCGCAGAUAUCAGGAGGAACACCGGUGGCGAAGGCGGGUCUCUGGGCAGUAACUGACGCUGAGGAGCGAAAGCGUGGGGAGCGAACAGGAUUAGAUACCCUGGUAGUCCACGCCGUAAACGGUGGGUACUAGGUGUGGGUUUCCUUCCUUGGGAUCCGUGCCGUAGCUAACGCAUUAAGUACCCCGCCUGGGGAGUACGGCCGCAAGGCUAAAACUCAAAGGAAUUGACGGGGGCCCGCACAAGCGGCGGAGCAUGUGGAUUAAUUCGAUGCAACGCGAAGAACCUUACCUGGGUUUGACAUGCACAGGACGCGUCUAGAGAUAGGCGUUCCCUUGUGGCCUGUGUGCAGGUGGUGCAUGGCUGUCGUCAGCUCGUGUCGUGAGAUGUUGGGUUAAGUCCCGCAACGAGCGCAACCCUUGUCUCAUGUUGCCAGCGGGUAAUGCCGGGGACUCGUGAGAGACUGCCGGGGUCAACUCGGAGGAAGGUGGGGAUGACGUCAAGUCAUCAUGCCCCCUAUGUCCAGGGCUUCACACAUGCUACAAUGGCCGGUACAAAGGGCUGCGAUGCCGUAAGGUUAAGCGAAUCCUUUUAAAGCCGGUCUCA